GAUGAAGAACGUAGUGAAAUGCGAUAAGUAAUGUGAAUUGCAGAAUUCAGUGAAUCAUCGAAUCUUUGAACGCACAUUGCGCCCCCUGGUAUUCCGGGGGGCAUGCCUGUCCGAGCGUCAUUACAACCCUCAAGCUCAGCUUGGUGUUGGGCCCCGCCGUCCCGGCGGGCCCUAAAGUCAGUGGCGGUGCCGUCCGGCUCCGAGCGUAGUAAUUCUUCUCGCUCUGGAGGUCCGGUCGUGUGCUCGCCAGCAACCCCCAAUUUUUUCAGGUUGACCUCGGAUCAGGUAGGGAUACCCGCUGAACUUAAGCAUAUCAAUAAGCGGAGGA
This 328-nucleotide unclassified non-coding RNA is filed under the name soil metagenome. Its description in RNAcentral is "partial contains 5.8S ribosomal RNA, internal transcribed spacer 2, and large subunit ribosomal RNA". The stretch from base 1 to 120 matches the Rfam family "5.8S ribosomal RNA", at positions 35 to 154 of the family's 154-position model. The record is from RNAcentral.